This 497-nucleotide ribosomal RNA is filed under the name uncultured bacterium. RNAcentral's name for it is "partial 16S ribosomal RNA". It matches the Rfam family "Bacterial small subunit ribosomal RNA", at positions 28 to 507 of the family's 1533-position model. The record is from RNAcentral.
GAUGAACGCUGGCGGCGUGCCUAAUACAUGCAAGUCGAGCGAACGGACGAGAAGCUUGCUUCUCUGAUGUUAGCGGCGGACGGGUGAGUAACACGUGGAUAACCUACCUAUAAGACUGGGAUAACUUCGGGAAACCGGAGCUAAUACCGGAUGAUAUUUUGAACCGCAUGGUUCAAAAGUGAAAGACGGUCUUGCUGUCACUUAUAGAUGGAUCCGCGCUGCAUUAGCUAGUUGGUAAGGUAACGGCUUACCAAGGCAACGAUGCAUAGCCGACCUGAGAGGGUGAUCGGCCACACUGGAACUGAGACACGGUCCAGACUCCUACGGGAGGCAGCAGUAGGGAAUCUUCCGCAAUGGGCGAAAGCCUGACGGAGCAACGCCGCGUGAGUGAUGAAGGUCUUCGGAUCGUAAAACUCUGUUAUUAGGGUAGAACAUAUGUGUAAGUAACUGUGCACAUCUUGACGGUACCUAAUCAGAAAGCCACGGCUAACUACGUG